CUGCUCGUCAAAGUUUCUAACAUCUGAUUGGUUACUCAGCAAAGCAAGUCAUGACAGAUCGAUCCCAGAUAAUGGAUUGAAGCAGUGAAUGCACUCCGAUACGUUAGGUGACAGUGUUCAUCCGUAUAUUCGUUUCGGUACGCUCUUCAUUUGUCGCCGAAAAAAUAGUUGCUGAUGAUACAAGUGAAGACGGAUCAAUCAGCUCACCAUUGGUGCAAAGUGUUAGUGCAGGAUGUCCAAAAGCUCUCCGGAGCACAGGUACAGCAGAUACCUGUCGCUACACCACGUACACCUGUUCAAGGUAGGUAAGGAUAGCCAGAUGUGCUUCUAAACGAAGCUAGCUAGUCGGCAGAAUGGUGUUAGCAUGUCAGCAGCCCUGAAGUUGGACUUUUAUCACUUCUUUCUUUUUAGUUGUUGUUUGCUUUCUUUAUUACAUUUAUCAGGACUUAAGGAUGUUUUAGCUGAGUGGCGAUCAUGGGAGCUGUAACAUUUUCUCUGUGUUGCAGCCGAAGUAGCAAGGCUGUUUGCUCCAUACAACAACAACAACAACAACAACAACAACAACAACAACAACAACAACAAGGCUGAUAAAGUUCCAAGCAUUCAGCUUAAAGCAGACCUUCUUGCUUCAGGACUUGGAGAACAAAGGUGAUCUUUUCAGGAAAUGACAACGAUCCCAUGGUUGUAACAAACAAACUGAUGGAGGUGUUUCCAAAGCUGCAAGAAGGGGGAGGCUUUGAGUUUCUAAAAAUUGCAGGAUCUACUCGCAGUCGAAAUCUUGGACUUCUUCAAUGUCCCAGCACAGGAUACACCCUUACCUAUCUAAAAGAUCCAUCUCCAACAAUUGGACAGGCUACAAUUGACAUACGCCCACUUCAACAGGACCUACCCAUUGAUUCAGAAAGCUCGGGACAUGCCUCUGGUCCAGAAGGAGGUUCCCUUCUCUGAAAUGAAACUGCACCGAGCUAACUGGA
This is a non-coding RNA of Labrus bergylta (ballan wrasse), 974 nucleotides long. The record is from RefSeq and is a predicted model, not a curated record. Lineage: Eukaryota; Metazoa; Chordata; Actinopteri; Labriformes; Labridae.